UGAAAGCUGGUGAAUAAAACACAAAUGAAUUUGAAUCAUUAGAAGGAAUUAAAAAUUCCGUUUUCAA
This 67-nucleotide transfer RNA is filed under the name Nodularia breviconcha. Its description in RNAcentral is "tRNA-Gln". Lineage: Eukaryota; Metazoa; Mollusca; Bivalvia; Unionida; Unionidae. The record is from RNAcentral.